GGGUCAGUAGCUCAGUUGGUAGAGUGCGCGAUUGAAAAUUGCGUGGUCGCGGGUUCAAAUCCCGCCUGGCCCA
RNAcentral lists this transfer RNA (73 nucleotides) under bacterium SCN 62-11. RNAcentral describes it as "tRNA-Phe". It matches the Rfam family "tRNA". Rfam says of the family: Transfer RNA (tRNA) molecules are approximately 80 nucleotides in length. Their secondary structure includes four short double-helical elements and three loops (D, anti-codon, and T loops). Further hydrogen bonds mediate the characteristic L-shaped molecular structure. tRNAs have two regions of fundamental functional importance: the anti-codon, which is responsible for specific mRNA codon recognition, and the 3' end, to which the tRNAs corresponding amino acid is attached (by aminoacyl-tRNA synthetases). tRNAs cope with the degeneracy of the genetic code in two manners: having more than one tRNA (with a specific anti-codon) for a particular amino acid; and 'wobble' base-pairing, i.e. permitting non-standard base-pairing at the 3rd anti-codon position. The record is from RNAcentral.